CUCGUGUCACCAGUUCAA
RNAcentral lists this transfer RNA (18 nucleotides) under Iresine diffusa. Lineage: Eukaryota; Viridiplantae; Streptophyta; Magnoliopsida; Caryophyllales; Amaranthaceae. The record is from RNAcentral.